This 675-nucleotide long non-coding RNA is filed under the name Homo sapiens (human). Its description in RNAcentral is "long non-coding RNA NONHSAT193230". Lineage: Eukaryota; Metazoa; Chordata; Mammalia; Primates; Hominidae. The record is from RNAcentral.
UGCUAAGGUCUUGAGGAAGCAUAAGACCUGCCUCCUGCCCAAAGAAAGUAGUAAGGGUUCUGUAGAAAGAGUCCUGGAUAUCAUGCUGGAAGACCUCCAUUCCAACCUUCCUUUUGCUUCAGUUUGGGGCCUCAUGAAGGACAUUUCAUUUCCUUUAGAGCUCGUUUCCCAGAGUAAACACUUACUCUAUUUCUGGUGUAAUUAUAAAGAAUCCAGUCAAGCUAUCUGAGAUUCCAGAAGACAGAGAGGUUGACUGGCACCCUGAUGGACAAGUAAGCUAGAUCAAGUCCUUUUCAGGGCCAGAAAGCCCUUGUGGCUGUAGUAGCAUAGAUGAGGUUGGGGCAGGUGGGGAUCCACUAACCCUGACCAGAUUCACAAAUCGAUGGUAUGUAUUCAUCUGAACGAUAAGUUUGGGUUGAGUCCCUCUUCAUCAGGUCUUAAAUUAGGAGCUGGGAAAGAGAGAUGGACGACAUGGUCGCCUUCCCUGCUGUGCAGGAAAGGCUGACAAGGACCCAGGCAACUAUAAUAUGGUGUGUAAUGUAGGUGAUUCAAAAGUACAGGAUAGGCUGGGAAUGGUGGCUCACACCUAUAAUCCCAGCACUUUGGGAGGCUGAGGCAGGAGGAUCGCUUGAGGCCAGGAGUUCGAGACCAGCCUGGACAACAUACUGAGAGCUG